Sorex fumeus (smoky shrew) is the source of this 108-nucleotide small nuclear RNA. The record is from RefSeq and is a predicted model, not a curated record. Lineage: Eukaryota; Metazoa; Chordata; Mammalia; Eulipotyphla; Soricidae.
AUGCUCACUUUGGCAGCACAUAUACUAAAAUUGAAAUGAUAGAAAAUUAGCACGGUUUCUGUGUAAGGAUAACACACAAGUUCAUGAGGUGUUGAACACCAUAUUUUU